Long non-coding RNA from Paramacrobiotus metropolitanus, 630 nucleotides. RefSeq lists it as uncharacterized. The transcript has 3 exons. Lineage: Eukaryota; Metazoa; Tardigrada; Eutardigrada; Parachela; Macrobiotidae. The record is from RefSeq and is a predicted model, not a curated record.
GUUCCGCGUGCGUGACUGAAGCUUAACACAUAACGAAGAACCAGCGUGAAUUUCUGAGGUUUUUUAAUUUAGUCAUCGCUGACUAGUUUUUUGGAGUGUAUUGGAGAUUAUAGGGAAAAUAUCUCUGUGUUCGCCGUUAAUUUCCAUUGCUUCUGGUGUCCAUCGCGGCCUGCCAAUUUGAUCUGAGGCGGAGGUGCUCUUGCGACGCAAAGGAUCUGGAUCCUCAUCCACACCACAAGCCACCCCGUGUUAUUCUUCCUACUCGGGAAAGCAGUCGUAAAAACUGGGCAUACUGCGAAACGGUAUCAGGCUUGAGCAUUGCGGAAGAGCGAGAUCAGAGAAUUGCUGCGAAGAGAAAACUACCGAGAACUACGGCUGCCUUCAAGUGCCAUCGCAUAUCGAGGAGCCCGCUGAGUUGCCUGUUUACUUUUUCCACCGGAAUCGUCUGACUGAUCAGUGCCGGCCGUUCCUCGCUCCGCAGUCUCUGUCCAAGCCAGCUCCUUCCGGUAGUGCGGGGGUAUUGCGGUAACUGACUUUUACAGUUGGUUCAGCAAUCCCAGCAUCGCCUCCUGCCCUCUUUGCCGCGACGUGUCCGUGCCGUAUUCCAGCCACCUGCUGUCCUGCACCUCU